GAUAGGGAUGAGAAGAGGAAAAAGAAUCUUUGUGUGAACCACACAUAACCAUCAACACUGCUGCUCGUGCAUGGACACACACACACACACACACACAUACACACACAUACACACCCUCUGACCAUCUUACUUGGAAGAGAUGGAGGGGGAACCCAUCUAGGUUAGAGGAUUCUUCACUGGGCUGUGCCCCUUUGUGGAUUAACUUGUCAGUCCUUCAAUAAGGGAGAAACAGACUGGGGUAGACUCAGGUGCCUGAUAAUUAGAAACAAUGAAAAUUGCAAUGAGAGCCUGAGUAAACACAGUAAGAGUGUACCCUGGACAGUCUGGUUCAGUCUUGGCCAUCCUCACUGGACAGGAGCCUAAGCGUCCAGACUGUCUGGUUCAAUGCUAUGCAGACUCUCUGGCUUCCUUCCUGCCCCAGGAAACCCAGACUGCCGCUCACAGCUCACAGAUCUUCAACCCAAAGAGCAUCCAAGCAUUGAGCUCCUCCCUCUGCCACAUAGCCCAACCCUCUGUCACCCUCAAGGACCCCAGGCCCUUCCCUCACGGUGACUCUAAGAAUCCCCUCUGUGGCUCCUGGCACUCAGGCCUCCCCUUCCUUCACCCGCUCACUUCGCAUUCUUGGCUUGACGAAUCAAUCACGCCACCAUUUUAUCUUGUCUUGGAUCAGACCCAAGGCUUCUGUUGGCUGACUCCCUGGGCUGCGUACAUGGGAAGGGGAUGGAGAAAGGACCCUCAAGAGCCCCGGGCUCCAGGAAGAGGAGCGGUGGCCCCCACCCCCUUCUCCUCGUCUCUGACUUCCCAGUAGCAGUUGAGAGGUGUUUGGACGGAAUAGAGAUGGAGACUUAGCCCGAGGGACGCCUCUCGUAGUGACUUCUGCUUCAAAGUGAGCACACUGUUUCCUAGGCAGAGCGGCCUUCUUGUUCCCAAGGCCGUUUCCCAGCUGGUCACUUCCAUUGUUAGUGUGCCAAGCGUGGCACUGUGUACCAGGUCUGUGCGUGUCGGCACAGAGGUGAUCAAGCAGGGUCGAGGUCAGGUUCAGUGGAGAGUUUAAAAAGAUAAAAUGAAAUGGAAAAAAAAAACAUCCCUUUGUAAGAGGCCCUUAGGUUUGGGGGGCGAUCAUAAACUCUGAAAGCAGGCACAGGGUCCUCUCAAUAAGCACAUUUGCAUUUGUAGAAAUGUACUCAGCUCUGUGUGUCUUGUCAGGUCUCUUCCAUGGGAGGGCCAGGCCUUAGCUCCCAGUGGCAGGCAGUUGGGUACUUAAUCCCUUCUUCAUGCCAGAAGUCGAGAGAAUCCAGGCUUUAUCCAGGCCCCAGGUCCAGGCCAGGGAGAAGUAUGUGAAUGAGUGCAUUUUCUGCCUUUCUCCCAGGCAGUCCCAUCGGAUACGAGCCCUUUCUCACUCUGUAGUUGAAGUCGGACUUUCUGGGAUUUCUCUCCAGGUCACUGGUGCAUAAGUGCUGUUUAUGACAUGGUCUAAGGGAGAAACUUGUCCCAGCCUCAGCUCGAAUGGGCUGGCUCCUCACCCAAGAACCUUCCCAAGUCACACUCAGGGAUGACCCUUAGGUCAUUGUGACAAGAGAAACCCUUCACAGGCACAGCCACCAAGGGAAAUUUUACCUGGGCUCCAGCCAUACUGAAGCACUGACCUGAGUUCAGUCAAUAAAGCCCUCAGGUCAAAAUGAAAACCAAGCAAACAGAUCAGUGUGUGGUGUCCGCAGGAACAAACUGUACAGAGUGGGCUAGCUCACGUCUUACUGUUUGCCGUGUUUGUAGCUAACGCCCACAGUCCCCAUCGCAUGCGCAGAGCUUGUUUUGCUGUUAACUUUGGGGGUGUUCCUCCGGGGACUUUUCCCUCAAGGUUGUCCCCUGAGGAGAAUGGAAACAGCUGUUUGGUCCUCCCUUGAGGCACCCCUCCGCCUGCCUUCCCUGCUCCUCUCUCUCAUCAUUCAUGCUUUGCCCAGCAGCAGGCGUCCCAGUGGGGACCACAGCCCAGCAGAGGAGCCUCGCAGGCUUCAGGAAGGCUCACUAGGUGACCGAUAGGUGACAGAAGGCUCUUGAGAUGGCCUGAGCAGAAGUCACGUGCAAGACGGUGGCACCGCCCCUGAAAUUUUGGAUGAAGGCUUGUCUUUAAGUCACUUCGUCUUCCUGCCACCUCCCUGUCUGUGACCACGUUCUCUGGUUCCUCCUUCUCACUGUAGAGCUAACUACUUAAAGUCCAGAAGAAUUUGGUGACCGCUGAUAACCCCUGCUUCAUGUAGGACAGUUCCUUGAUGGCCUCAAAAGCCCUGACUGACUUACCCUGUCCCCUUCUGCAAGCUCCCUUGCUCUGCCUCCUCUGUCUGUCACCUGGAACUUCCUUUGGUUUCUCAGUCACCAACAUCGUCACUCAUGUUGCUGGGGUCUGUGUCCACAGUGGUCAUGCUUAAGAGGCACAUCCCUUGUGCCACCCAAACACCCUUCUCCUUGUUUACUCCUGUUCCUUUCAGGGCUUCCCCUUACGCAAGCAGCGCGCCCGUCCCCGACUUUCUAGCUUCAUUGUCCCAUGCUCCUUUUUAUGCAGUGUGGCUAUUUGGUCAUUGCCCCCUUCCUCCGAGUUAUGCAGCCUGUGUGAACAGGUCUAGUGCUCCCUGUCAUUGUGCCAGGCACCUGUCAUCCCAAUGCCACAUAGCACAGUAGGAAUAAAAGUAUGUCCAGCGUGUGGAUAAUUGCAAGUCAGCGCUUGCCUUGUGUAGAGAAAGCUAUUGGUAUGGAGCAGAACCCCUGGCUCUGACUUUGGGUGCUGGCCUGGCCGUGGUGUCUGUUUCCCGCACAGCUGCCUCAUCAGGACAACGACCUGAGCACUCCCUUUCUGCAUCCGUGCUUGGCUUUGGCCAUGCGAUCGACGUAGAAGCCGCCUACAGUUCCGGCCACAGCCGCCCAUGUGAGGACUGAUGUCCUCCUCCUGACAAACUGAUUUCAGUAUAAACGUGGAUUGGCUUUGAACUCACGGUCCUCCUGUUUCUGCCUCUGGAACUCCUAGUUUGUACCAUCACACCAGGUGCUGAAGGUCCGUUUCUAAAAUCCAUGUUUCCGGAAGGGUUGUCUAUAGUAAGUCUGAUUGUACUUGAUUUCAAAUGACUGCAGUGAACAGUUUUGUCAUUUGGGAUUAAAAUCUUUAUUGCAGGAAAAGUUUAUUGCUUUGCAUUUUCACAAGUGAAUGGUCCAAACAAGGAGCUCCUCCAUGCAUCUCCUCCACGGUGCACAGUUGCAGAGAAAAGACAGAUUUCCUUCAUGUGCUGUCAAGAUGUCAGCCCCAGAACCAGCAUUCACAGCUAGAGACAGGACUUCUUUCUGUCGACAUCCAGACAUCUGCCAUUGACCUAAGGGACGCCAUAGCAAGUCUUCUUUAGAGUAGCAGAUGGCGGGAGACGGGCAAGCCAGGUGCUCACAUUCGACACGAAGCCGCCUUCCCCAGAGAGGAGAGUCCUAAUGAUGCUGCCGUGAAAGAGGAGGGGGCUGUAACAACGCAGGUGCACUAGCUGUUUACCUCGAGUAAAGCAGCCGCUGUCUUAAGUGUCUGGGCCUGUGGAUUCUCUGUUGUCAUUCCUGAAGCUUCAAAGAGUCUGCGUGCCCACUUUCCGUAGCUGUCUGAGCAAGGGAGAUGUCUCUGGGGCUAUGAAGAUACGGAUGCCUGUGAUGACGUCACUCACGGAUGCCUCUGUUGGGUGACGCCUCCGAACACUAAACUUCUUCUAGUUCCACUUGGUGUGUGGCUGUUAUUAGUGGCACUCUUCCGAGUCACAGCAAAAUUGGGGACUUGAAGUAUUUAUUAGUGAUUUUCAACCAAAACCCAUCUGGCCUUAAUUGUUUUAUAUUUUAAAAUAAAACUUAAGAAAAUAUGA
Long non-coding RNA from Mesocricetus auratus (golden hamster), 3881 nucleotides. RefSeq lists it as uncharacterized. Lineage: Eukaryota; Metazoa; Chordata; Mammalia; Rodentia; Cricetidae. The record is from RefSeq and is a predicted model, not a curated record. The transcript is spliced from 6 exons.